CCUACGGGUGGCUGCAGUGGGGAAUUUUACGCAAUGGGGGAAACCCUGACGUAGCGACACCGCGUGAGCGAAGAAGCCCCUUGGGGUGUAAAGCUCUGUCAGCUGGAACGAAAAAAAUGACGGUACCAGCAGAGGAAGCAUCGGCUAACUACGUGCCAGCAGCCGCGGUAAGACGUAGGAUGCGAGCGUUGUCCGGAUUUAUUGGGCGUAAAGAGUUCGUAGGUGGUUUGUCAAGUCUGAUGUUAAAGAUCGGGGCUCAACCCUGGGACUGCAUUGGAUACUGGCAGACUUGAGUGUGGUAGAGGCUAGUGGAAUUCCCAGUGUAGCGGUGAAAUGCGUAGAUAUUGGGAAGAACACCGGUGGCGUAGGCGACUAGCUGGGCCAUAACUGACACUGAGGAACGAAAGCCAGGGUAGCGAAUGGGAUUAGAUACCCGUGUAGUC
This 443-nucleotide ribosomal RNA is filed under the name uncultured bacterium. RNAcentral's name for it is "partial 16S ribosomal RNA". It matches the Rfam family "Bacterial small subunit ribosomal RNA", at positions 338 to 795 of the family's 1533-position model. The record is from RNAcentral.